CGUGUGUCCAAGCAAUGCUAAUGCCGGUGUCCCCUCUCAGAAUAUCGCCUUGGCUCGGCGGCGCGUUUUGCGGAACGCAACGGUUCAGCAAUUGAAACAUGCAGGAUGGAAUCGAGACAGAAACAUGUGUAUCACACCAUCAUAGCGAGCAACCUACUUUCCCCUCUGCUGGAGGUGUAGAUGAAUCAAACACCACACAGAGGAAAUGGCUUCCUGGAUUCCCCCAAGCAGCUGAUUGGUCAGCCGCAUUGCAGAUUGGAGCUCUGAUCCCGCCCUCUCGUUAGGGGAUACAGCUGUCGGCAAUUACAAACUCCUUCUGAAGCUGGAUAAAAGCCAGUGUUCCUUUGUUAGGAGAGAAAGCGUCUAGGAUGUCCUGUGUUGGUUGUUGAGCAGAGGCAGUUUUGUUGGAAGUAUUUUGUAGCUGCUACUUCUGAGGUAUAUGUGUGACAAUAGGACUUAGUGUUUGUGAUUAUUGAAAUAGUUAACUUUAAGUUUGUAUUAUUCUGUUUAAUUUGUUCCCAGGGGGGAAGUGGGAGGCGUGCGGGAAUACAUAUACCCGUAGUAUGUACUCUGUCUAUGCACAGUAGGUAAGACCUGGGCGGACCACCCCCUGUAUUUAGGUUAGCACGCCAGGUGGCUUUAAGGUUAUGUAAUGGGUGGGUAGGCAGGUAGGUAGGAGAGGGGACUCUUAACUUUUUACUUUUUUUGGUUUGGUUCUGUCCAGCCACUU
This is a long non-coding RNA of Oncorhynchus keta (chum salmon), 730 nucleotides long. RefSeq lists it as uncharacterized. NCBI's taxonomy places the organism in Eukaryota, Metazoa, Chordata, Actinopteri, Salmoniformes, Salmonidae. The transcript is spliced from 4 exons. The record is from RefSeq and is a predicted model, not a curated record.